AGCCUAAUGACAUUUAUAUAAGCAAAAAUAUUUUUACUUAUUUUAUUUUGAAAGGAUUCAAGUCCCAAAAACUCACACUUUGGAGGAUUUGAAUUUACAAAUUUUCUGGAGUUUAUUUGGACUUAUUUGGAGUUAGAAAUCAAAAGAUAUAUAUGAAAACAGAAAAUAGAAAAGAAUAAGAAAAAGAAAAAGAAAAAAGGAUUGAACCGACCCAACUGGGCCGGCCCAUCUCCCCCAGCGCCCAGCCCAGCCACCUCCCCUUUUAUUUUAUUUUUCCUUUUCUCCUUCUUGGGCCGACCUCCUCCUGGCCCAACAGCACGAGCGCCCAGCCCAGUGAAAGGAAAGCCCCUGCUGCCAUGAUUCACUCCUUCGAUUUCUUUCCUUCCCACGUGUCUCUCUUCGAAAGGAAACCACCUCGUCAAUCCUCACAAUCCCGGAAAUCGAUUCAGGCAAUCAAUUUGAAGUUUCCUCUCAUAAUGGCCUUUUCCAAAAAAGGCGCCCCGAAUGCGGCC
RNAcentral lists this long non-coding RNA (512 nucleotides) under Brachypodium distachyon (stiff brome). RNAcentral's name for it is "long non-coding RNA (BDIS_LNC003286)". Lineage: Eukaryota; Viridiplantae; Streptophyta; Magnoliopsida; Poales; Poaceae. The record is from RNAcentral.